CGCACGGGUGAGUAACACGUAGGUAACCUAUCCUCGAGUGGUGGAUAACAUCCCGAAAGGGGUGCUAAUACAGCAUAAGACCACGGUCUCGUAAGGGACAGAGGUCAAAGCGGGCCAAUCCAUGGAAGCUCGCGCCCGAGGCUGGGCCUGCGGGGCAUCAGCUAGUUGGUGGGGUAACGGCCUACCAAGGCUUAGACGCCUAGCUGGUCUGAGAGGAUGAUCAGCCACACUGGAACUGAGACACGGUCCAGACUCCUACGGGAGGCAGCAGUGGGGAAUUUUUGCGCAAUGGGCGAAAGCCCUGACGCAGCGACCCCCGCGUGAGUUGAUGAAGGCCCCUCCGGGUUUGUAAAGCUCUUGUGGGGAGGGAAGAAAUAAGGUAUGGGUUUAAUACCCCAUUGCCCGAUGACGGGUACCUCUCUUUAGCAAGCACCCGGCUAACUCCUGUGCCCAGCAGCCCGCGGGUAAGACAGAGGGGUGCAAAACGUUUGUUUCGGGAAUCACCUGGGGCGUAAAAGCGCGGUGUAGGCGGCUAUGCAAAGUCGGGGUGGUGAAAAGCCCCUGGGGCCUCAACCGGAGGAAAGUGCACCCCGAAACUGCAUAGCUAGAGUCCCGGGAGAGAGAUGGGUGGAAUUUCUAGGUUGUAGAAGGGUGAAAUUUCGUAGAUUUCUAGAGGAACACCGGGUGGGCGAAAGCGGCCAUCUGGGACCGGGUACUGACGCUGAGACGCGAAAGCGUGGGUAGCAAACAGGAUUAGAUACCCUGGUAGUCCACGCCGUAACGAUGGGUGCUAGGGUGUCGCGG
RNAcentral lists this ribosomal RNA (804 nucleotides) under uncultured bacterium. Its description in RNAcentral is "bacterial SSU rRNA". It matches the Rfam family "Bacterial small subunit ribosomal RNA", at positions 99 to 829 of the family's 1533-position model. The record is from RNAcentral.